RNAcentral lists this transfer RNA (540 nucleotides) under uncultured cyanobacterium. Its description in RNAcentral is "partial contains 16S ribosomal RNA, 16S-23S ribosomal RNA intergenic spacer, and 23S ribosomal RNA". The stretch from base 212 to 284 matches the Rfam family "tRNA". The record is from RNAcentral. Lineage: Bacteria; Bacillati; Cyanobacteriota.
CAGGGAGACAACAAAAUGUUUAAUAUUAUUAUUUUGUCACCUUAGGUCGAUCGGUAUCUCACGUUCUUAAUUUAUUAAGAAUUUCAUUUCCUAAGUUUUUCUAGGUCACACCCAUUAUUUUUCCUGGGCCAUUAGCUCAGGUGGUUAGAGCGCACCCCUGAUAAGGGUGAGGUCCCUGGUUCAAGUCCAGGAUGGCCCAUAUCUCUAUGUUGGGGGUAUAGCUCAGUUGGUAGAGCGCCUGCUUUGCAAGCAGGAUGUCAGCGGUUCGAGUCCGCUUACCUCCACUGAUUACCACCUCUUCCAUAAUCUGUACACAGGAAAUGUUUUGAGUUGUGAUCAAAUUCUGAACGAAUCUAGCUUCCUAAUGAAAUCAUUAAGAUGCUGGACUCAUUGAAUUAAUUUCAUUGUUUUCAGAGAACCUUGACAACUGCAUAGAUUAUUUUUAAAGACAAUAAGCAUCUUUAAUGAUGCAGAUUUAUUAUUUGUGCGAAUGCAUUAAUAACAAUUCUAUUAAGCUGAUGCUUCAAUUUUGAAGUUAUU